RNAcentral lists this ribosomal RNA (500 nucleotides) under uncultured Pseudomonadota bacterium. Its description in RNAcentral is "bacterial SSU rRNA". It matches the Rfam family "Bacterial small subunit ribosomal RNA", at positions 382 to 896 of the family's 1533-position model. Lineage: Bacteria; Pseudomonadati; Pseudomonadota. The record is from RNAcentral.
CCUGAUCCAGCAAUGCCGCGUGAGUGAUGAAGGCCUUCGGGUUGUAAAGCUCUUUCGCACGCGACGAUGAUGACGGUAGCGUGAGAAGAAGCCCCGGCUAACUUCGUGCCAGCAGCCGCGGUAAUACGAAGGGGGCUAGCGUUGUUCGGAAUUACUGGGCGUAAAGGGCGCGUAGGCGGUUUGUCAAGUCAGGCGUGAAAGCCCCGGGCUCAACCUGGGAACUGCGCUUGAGACUGGCAGGCUCGAGUUCGGGAGAGGAUGGUGGAAUUCCCAGUGUAGAGGUGAAAUUCGUAGAUAUUGGGAAGAACACCGAUGGCGAAGGCAGCCAUCUGGACCAACACUGACGCUGAGGCGCGAAAGCGUGGGGAGCAAACAGGAUUAGAUACCCUGGUAGUCCACGCCGUAAACGAUGAGUGCUAGACGGUCGGGGCCCUCAGGGCUUCGGUGUCGCAGCUAACGCAUUAAGCACUCCGCCGUGGGGAGUACGGCCGCAAAGGUUA